This 687-nucleotide long non-coding RNA is filed under the name Gossypium barbadense (sea-island cotton). RNAcentral's name for it is "long non-coding RNA (GBAR_LNC005613)". Lineage: Eukaryota; Viridiplantae; Streptophyta; Magnoliopsida; Malvales; Malvaceae. The record is from RNAcentral.
CAAGUUUGUUUGUUAAAAUGGGAAUUUCUGGGUCUUAUUUUAAACUCUUAGAAAGAAGGUUGUGUCUUAUUAAAAUUAAUCAAAGAAUUUAGUGUUGAUUUAAUUAACAUGCAUUAAUGUACUGAUUUGUAGGAUUAAUUGCCGUUGAAGUGUCUGGAAGAACAUAAUUUAGGUUGUGAGGUGGGAGGAGAAUGGCCAAGGCAUUUGGUUUGUAGGAUUAAUUGGUCUACAAAAUCCGUACUACAAAGGGAUUAUUUUAGCAGAAGCCCAACCCUAGUGUUGAUUUAAUUAACAUGCAUUAAUGUACUGAUUUGUAGGAUUAAUUGCCGUUGAAGUGUCUGGAAGAACAUAAUUUAGGUUGUGAGGUGGGAGGAGAAUGGCCAAGGCAUUUGGUUUGUAGGAUUAAUUGGUCUACAAAAUCCGUACUACAAAGGGAUUAUUUUAGCAGAAGCCCAACCCUUGAGAGCUACUAGUGUCAAGGGUUGCGCAUGGGAGCCCGCAACCAUGACACAUCUGUGCGAUCCAUCAAGAAGGAAGGAGGUCAUUUGGCCCAAUCGGACUGGCCCGUUGCUUGAAGAGAUUGAAGGUCCAUCUACAAGUUAGACAAAUAUGGAAACAUGAUCUUAAAAGAUAUGAUUUAUAAUCUUAGAGAUCUUAGAUAUGAUAUGUAAUUUUAUAAGAUAUUAU